UCAAGCGGCGGCACUGGCGGCCUGGACUCCAUCCGGGUCCUGGGCGCUGCUCUGGGUCACCCUGCGGCAGGUUACACAGCAAGUGACCAGUGUCUUCCCAUGAGUCAGGAAGAAUCUUACGUGGUGCAGCAUGAUAUCAAUCUUCAUCUUUACAGUUGUGAAGAUUACUAAAGGAAGGGAACAAGCACCUGGAAAUUAACCAGUGGCUAGCUGGCUAAUGAGUUUUCUUAUGGCUAUACUGAAUAAAGAAAACAGUUUAUGAACUGAACUUAAAAACUCAUCCCUUUAUGAGCAGGUAAAUUCCAACUGCUUUUACAAUAAAACCAGGAUGGUGACCUUUAAAGAGAUAGUGAACCCAUUCCUAUAGUGGUAGAUCAAAAGUAUCUGUAGAUGGUAGUGCUCUUGAACAUAAUUAAUUUUAGACAAAGACGACAAAUUCUUUAAUUGGAUUUUGUCACCGAUGCAAUCAGAUGUUACCAAAGUUGUGUGAAUCAUCUAAGAAAACAUACCUGCUUUUCAUUUGAAGAAACAUUUUUGUAAGUUUGCUGUCUGAUGGGUACUAGUAUUUAAUUGCAUGCAAGACAAAAUACAGUCAGCAUUAUCAGGUGGAGGGGACGGUUUAAAAACAUUCAGGACAUGCUAUAGAAUGGGUUUUUUUGAAGAAUGCUGUAACGAAGUGUCACCAUGUGUUUCUUAUGAAGUAACACACCUACUAUGCAAAGCUAGCUAAGGUAACUACCAGCUGCACAAUUAAUGGCAAAUUUGAAUCUAUAUAGAUUGUUCCUCAU
This is a long non-coding RNA of Gavialis gangeticus (Gharial), 788 nucleotides long. RefSeq lists it as uncharacterized. The record is from RefSeq and is a predicted model, not a curated record. The transcript is spliced from 3 exons. Lineage: Eukaryota; Metazoa; Chordata; Crocodylia; Gavialidae.